GUCGACGCUGAAGCCUGGUGCUUGCACCGGGUGGAUGAGUGGCGAACGGGUGAGUAACACGUGAGUAACCUGCCCCUGACUUCGGGAUAAGCCCGGGAAACUGGGUCUAAUACCGGAUACGACCGUCGGACGCAUGUCUGGUGGUGGAAAGUUUUUUCGGUUGGGGAUGGGCUCGCGGCCUAUCAGUUUGUUGGUGAGGUAAUGGCUCACCAAGACGACGACGGGUAGCCGGCCUGAGAGGGCGACCGGCCACACUGGGACUGAGACACGGCCCAGACUCCUACGGGAGGCAGCAGUGGGGAAUAUUGCACAAUGGGGGAAACCCUGAUGCAGCGACGCAGCGUGCGGGAUGACGGCCUUCGGGUUGUAAACCGCUUUCAGCAGGGAAGAAGCGCAAGUGACGGUACCUGCAGAAGAAGUACCGGCUAACUACGUGCCAGCAGCCGCGGUAAUACGUAGGGUACGAGCGUUGUCCGGAAUUAUUGGGCGUAAAGAGCUCGUAGGUGGUUGGUCACGUCUGCUGUGGAAACGCAACGCUUAACGUUGCGCGUGCAGUGGGUACGGGCUGACUAGAGUGCAGUAGGGGAGUCUGGAAUUCCUGGUGUAGCGGUGAAAUGCGCAGAUAUCAGGAGGAACACCGGUGGCGAAGGCGGGACUCUGGGCUGUAACUGACACUGAGGAGCGAAAGCAUGGGGAGCGAACAGGAUUAGAUACCCUGGUAGUCCAUGCCGUAAACGUUGGGCACUAGGUGUGGGGGGCAUUCCACGUUCUCCGCGCCGUAGCUAACGCAUUAAGUGCCCCGCCUGGGGAGUACGGUCGCAAGGCUAAAACUCAAAGGAAUUGACGGGGGCCCGCACAAGCGGCGGAGCAUGCGGAUUAAUUCGAUGCAACGCGAAGAACCUUACCAAGGCUUGACAUACACCAGACCGUCCUGGAAACAGGUCCUCUUCUUUGAAGCUGGUGUACAGGUGGUGCAUGGUUGUCGUCAGCUCGUGUCGUGAGAUGUUUGGGUUAAGUCCCGCAACGAGCGCAACCCUCGUUCUAUGUUGCCAGCACGUGGAUGGUGGGAACUCAUAGGAGACUGCCGGGUCACUCGGAGGAAAGGUGGGGAUGACGUCAAUCAUCAU
Molecule: ribosomal RNA, 1127 nt
Filed under: uncultured bacterium
Lineage: Bacteria
Description: bacterial SSU rRNA
Rfam family: Bacterial small subunit ribosomal RNA
Source: RNAcentral